AACGAACGCUGGCGGCAGGCCUAACACAUGCAAGUCGAACGCCCUCUUCGGAGGGAGUGGCAGACGGGUGAGUAACGCGUGGGAAUCUACCUAGCUCUAUGGAAUAACUUCGGGAAACCGGAGCUAAUACCGUAUACGCCCUUCGGGGGAAAGAUUUAUCGGAGUUAGAUGAGCCCGCGUUAGAUUAGCUUGUUGGUAGGGUAAUGGCCUACCAAGGCGACGAUCUAUAGCUGGUCUGAGAGGAUGAUCAGCCACACUGGGACUGAGACACGGCCCAG
RNAcentral lists this ribosomal RNA (278 nucleotides) under uncultured bacterium. RNAcentral's name for it is "partial 16S ribosomal RNA". It matches the Rfam family "Bacterial small subunit ribosomal RNA", at positions 29 to 334 of the family's 1533-position model. The record is from RNAcentral.